GACGAACGCUGGCGGCGUGCCUAAUACAUGCAAGUUGAGCGCUGAAGGUUGGUACUUGUACCGACUGGAUGAGCAGCGAACGGGUGAGUAACGCGUGGGGAAUCUGCCUUUGAGCGGGGGACAACAUUUGGAAACGAAUGCUAAUACCGCAUAAAAACUUUAAACACAAGUUUUAAGUUUGAAAGAUGCAAUUGCAUCACUCAAAGAUGAUCCCGCGUUGUAUUAGCUAGUUGGUGAGGUAAAGGCUCACCAAGGCGAUGAUAAAUAGCCGACCUGGGAGGGUGCACGGCCACAUUGGGACUGGGACACGGCCCAAACUCCUACGGGAGGCAGCAGUAGGGAAUCUUCGGGAAUGGACGAAAGUCUGACCGAGCAACGCCGCGUGAGUGAAGAAGGUUUUCGGAUCGUAAAACUCUGUUGGUAGAGAAGAACGUUGGUGAGAGUGGAAAGCUCAUCAAGUGACGGUAACUACCCAGAAAGGGACGGCUAACUACGUGCCAGCAGCCGCCGUAA
RNAcentral lists this ribosomal RNA (513 nucleotides) under uncultured bacterium. RNAcentral's name for it is "partial 16S ribosomal RNA". It matches the Rfam family "Bacterial small subunit ribosomal RNA", at positions 28 to 523 of the family's 1533-position model. The record is from RNAcentral.